GGCUUCUGUGUACAGGGUCGACAUCUCUUUGAAGUCUCCAUGGAGCAGCUUGUAAGGGUUUCCCCGGAAACCUUGCUCUUUCAGAUGUUUCUCCAGCUUCUUCGGUCUAAACCAUACCCAGUUCAAAGCUUUCCAUGAGACUACUACUACUAACAGAAGAAGAAGAAGAAGACAAGAAGAAUACACAGUAAAGGUUGAGACAUAGGUGGCUUCCAUGUUGUGUUUUUGUUUUGUUGGUUUUCUUGUGAGAUUUCUACCUUUGUCGAGUGCAAAUUUACAUUCAGGUUGGGGCGAUGAUAACCUUUGGUCUUGUGCGUCCGCACGGCUAUCCGUUUAUUACUUGGAGAAGGGAGAAAAGGAGGAACUUUCAGCUCAGCAUAGCAUGAUUGACUUGGUACAAGUUUCUAUGUUACCAUGUGAUAAGAGAGUACACGAGAAUUUGGAGCCUAUAUCUAUAUAUAUAUUUCUCGGAUUUUAGAGCAAAGUUUUUUUUUUUUUUUUUUUUUUUGGGUGCAAUUGAGAGGACCUCCAAGCCAAUUUAAUUUAACUGGACCUUUAAGGCAAUUUAAUUAGAAGAACAAUUUUGUCACAGAAUUAGAAGGAUAUUCGAACUUUGCAUAAACCCUAUCGGAAAAACAAACAUAGAGUGGAAAUUUUAAUUAAAGGCUAAAUUUUUAUGUGCUUUAAAAUGUUGAACAGUUAUUUUUCUUUGGUAAGUAAAUUUCUGAACAAUUAUUUUUGUACAGAAACACUAAAAAUUUUGCUAAACUUAAAACGUUACAUGUGUUCAAAUCUCUCCUUUUCCUUUCUCAUUUUUUAAAUACCACCCCUUCCUUAUAUGUGUGAAUGUAGAGGACGUGACAUUUAAAGCACACAUAGAAAACACUUUCAAUUGUAGAUAAUUCUUAAGUACACUAAACUUCGAAAAUGUUAUGAACAUGGCUGUAUUGAGUGUAGAAUUUUAUGUGGUGGAACUGAAUAAAAUUUCUGUGGCAUUUCUGUGAGUUUUAGGUGGAAAUCAUAAAUAUGGUAGUGUGACAGCUAAAGUAGACAGACUGAGACAGCUUAGGAAACUGGCUAGCAAGGUCAGAUGUUCUAGAAGAACAGAAUAGACUAGACAAUGAAACGCGCACUCAAUUUCAACAAAUUGAUUAAUAUUGUACUGGCAACAACCAAGCUGUGUCAGCAGUUAUUGAAGGCAUCUGGAAGAAACUAUUGAAAGUGGAAAAUUCAUUUGCAAAAAAUUCAUUUUAUAGGAGGUUGAAAGAGCAGAACAUUAUUAUAAUUGUUCAAAAAUCAUGAUGCAUUAAUUAGCUGUGACACUGCGAUUAAUUAGCUUAAGAAAGAUAUGGAAUUUGCAAAAUCAAAUAUUUUAGACGAAAUCAAUUUUAUGUACAGGGUUAGCAUAAAUUUCAACAAUCCUCUGAUUUUAAUGCCUAAAUAUUCAAUUAUUACAUGGGAAAAAUCUGGAACAUGGAAUGAGUCAAACUAAGUGUUCGGAUAGGAGAUUAUUUGGGAUAAUUUUUUAAAAAAAUAUUAUAUCAUAAUUUUUUUUGAUGUGAUGUAUAUGAGAUAAAAAAAAUAAUUAAAAAAUACGUUAAUAAUGAAAAUAAAUAAAUCUCAAUGAACAAAGCACUAUCCAAACAAAAAUACAAACUAGAUGACCUAUGCCAUGACGAUGGCAGAUAAUCCUUCUCGAGGAAAAAUAUGCCCAAGCUUUGUUUUCUUUCCAAGUAUGUUAAAUUUAUCCUUAAAUAUAUCUAUGCCCUUUAUGUUUUGAGCUGUCCAAACUGUCUUUUCCUCUUGCCGUGGGAGCUGAGCUGAAAUAUGAUAAUCGGCUCUGUUUGGAUUGUAAAUUAUUUGAGAUAUUUUUACUGUAGCAUUUUUUAUGAUAUGAUGUAUGUGAGAUAAAAAGGUAAUUAGAAAGAUAAAAAGAUGUGUUGAAAAUUGUUAUGAUGAUGUAAGCAAAUAAAUUUUGGUAAAUAAUCCUCAAUCCAAACAAACCUAUGAGGUGAAAAAUAAACUAAUAAAUUAAAACCUGAAGUCAUGAAGUCAACAUACAGAAUGGGGUAAAUUAUGGUAAAUUACUAUACCAGCCCGUUCUUCUAAAAUUUUUAUCACACAAUCUCCCUAUUAUUCCACAAUAUCCAAUUGAUGCCCCGUGACUUUGUGUAAAAGCAAGACCUAAUAAAUUACAAAGGAAUGUGCAUAGUUGUUUUAAAUUUGAAUACCUCAUUAGUGGUCUCAAUGGUUUAUUAUUAUUAUUUUUCAAAAUAAAUCUGAAGACUAAUAAUUUCGGGGAGAGUUAGAUGUCUUUAAAUGGAAAGUACAUGUAGAAGGACAAAAAGGAGUACUGGCAAAUGGCAACAAAAUAGGGAACAAAUCAAAAUGAAUUUUAUUCAAGAAUCAUAGAGAGUUCCUAAAACAAAAUUUUUUUUUUUUUGAGAGCAAGCAGAUUAAUUAAGUUGUUAUAUGGUAGUCCUUUUUAAGUAUAGAGCAAAACUAUAGCCCUUUGAGUAGAGUGGUUUUUACCAAUUUGGCUAAACUUUGCAAUUGUUGUGCUUAAUUUUGUUGUCGAUUUCGUGUGACUAUUUACAAUUGGCAUGCCAAAAAGGCCGAAGAGUGGGAAUUGCUGUAUUAAAAUUAUAUAGUUCCAAUUAAAUUUCGUAUUACCGUCUUAAAGUAGAGAAAAUGAGCAUAUCACUAAUAGCAAAAUGAGGUUAACAUAUUCAUUUCAUUUUUUUUUCCUAGUAGGGGAGGUGUGAGGGUUUAAGAAGUAGCAAGGGAAAAAGGGAGAUUAGAACCUAAAAACUCUAUAUUCAGGGUCUCAACCUUCAAAUUUAGCCACUAAGCCAAUGUCUUCUCGGCGCAUAUUCAUUUCAUUUGAUGAUUCUAAGUGACCUUGCAGUGGAUAGUUAAUCAGAGCCGGACUAUGAUAUCGAUUGCCGCCUGAAAUUGCAGUUGAAUCAUAGGCAAAUUUAUGAUAUCGAUUGUUAUGAAAAAGAAGUCAGAAUCGGCAUUGAAAUUCAUUCUUGGUUGUUUCUAGCAGAAAAAAGAAGAAUGAGAAAAUAUUUUGGACCCACAUUAUAGCACAUUUAUGUCGAGUAACUACAUAGUAGUGCUAGCCAAAAAAAAAUCAAAUGAAGAUUUAAAACACUGCGUUAACUGUUUUGUCUUUUAUUCUCCCGUUAUUCUGUUCUCUUAAAUUGAUAUUUCAACAAUCAUUAUAACAUUUUAAACGAUAAUAACAAUAUAUUCAUAUAUAUAUAUAUAUAUAUAUAUAUAUAUAAAUAGGUAAUCAUAUUUUUUACACAUUUCCUCAGAGUUGCAUUAUGCAAAAGGUCAAACCACAAUAUUCUAAAAGUUUUGGUCUUAAAAGUCAUUCUCCUUUUAUUUGACUAAUUCUUCCUGCCGGCCUACUUCUCUUCGGCCUAAAAUUGCUCCCCACUUGUUCGUAUUCUUCUUAUGUUCUAUUCCGCGACCUUUUCCAUUUCCUACAUUGUUAAGCCGUGGAACGAAUUGCGAGCCUGCAAUGUUCAAAAUAUCAAUCUUCAAAUAACUUCAUAGCAAAUUAAACAAAGAUUGAUAACAAGAUUUCUUGUUUUACAGUUUCUUCAAGAUCAAAUGAGCUCCAUACUGGGGUUGAAGAGUGAGCACAACUUGAGGAGCAUGUGCAUAACUCGGCGAAAGCUCCCAAGAAAAGCGCCGUAAGAUCAAAGCCAGCGCCAUCUUUGCUUCCAGCAUAGCAAAAUUUUGCCCAAUGCAAGUUCGAGGUCCCCAACCAAAUGGAAAGAACGAGAGAUUGCCUUUUGUAGCCUUUGAAACUCCCUCACUGAAUCUUUCUGGAUUAAAUUCCUUCGCAUCAUCACCCCACAAGUCUUUGUCCUGCUGCAGCAAGAUUGGGGCCACAAAGAUGAACAUUCCUUCGGGCAGUGAUAGUUCGCCUAAUUUAGUUUCUUCGGGAAUCAUUCGAAAAAGAUUUGCUGCCGGUGGAUAUAGCCUUAGAACCUCGUUAAGGAUCAUGGUAACCUUUAGAAAAAUAAACGUAAACAGAAGAAUGAUUAGUGGAGAUUGGAUCAACUAUCAAAAAAGUGCUAAGAUGGGAACAUAAUUUUGCAAGUUAUACUUACAAUUUUGAGGUGAUUUAAUUUACUAAUAUCAGGUUCAUUGUUGUCAAAAACCUGUAGAACCUCAUCCCUGGCACGAGCCUGCCAAUCAAAAUGUUGACUCAAUAAAAUUAAUGUCCAGGCGAGCAAUCCUGAGGUUGUCUCUUGUCCAGCCAAAUAGAAUAGCUUGCACUCCUCGAUGACUUCUUCAAGGCUCAUGCCGUUCUUAUUUCCAUGUUGUCGGAUCUCAUUCAAAUUGGAUUCCAAUAAAAUACCCAACAAGUCAUCACUUGUAGCUUCACCUGUUUGAAUUUCUGAUAGAGCGGUUAUUUGACGCAUUUUGCACUGUUAUUUUGUCCUAAUUUUGGCUAUUCACGGUGCUAAGAAUUGAAAUUUCACUCAUAUUCGACAUUUGUGUGAAUUGUAGGUGGUCGGCAUAAAAAAUGAUCUCGCGAGGCAAAUUUCCAGAAGAUCUUUCAUUUCAGAGCGCGGCCACGCCAGAAAAGGUCUACGCUACCUAAAAGACGGACCGUGGUCCACGUGAACCCGGAGCACUGGAUUAGAACCUUUAAACAAAUUGUGGGCCUCCUAACCCUUUGAAGACUUCUCUGGGGCGGCGGCUAUAAAGAAAGGAAAAAGCAAGAUUCAGAAUCGCAGAGGACUUUUUAGCUUUAGUUUUCUUUUUCUACUUUUUGGUCAGACGCCUUUCUUGACUUUUGUUUUAUUCUUCGGCAGCAAUUACAUUAGAAAUUAGAUAGCUUUAGCUUUUCCCACUUUUAGGCCGAAUGGGUCAGACGCAAAAUACUUUUCUUUCCCUUGCUUUUGGCCUUUACGUUUGACUCUUUCACUUCUGUCUCCGAAUCUGUACAAUUUGCGUGGGCUUUGGCAUUGAAUUCCGGGAUUCAGUACGAAUGCCAACGCAGAGAUAAGGAAGACGCUUGCCUUUUUCCUUCUUCGCUAUUUCACUGUUCCAGAUUCUUUGAUGUUUGCGUGGAUGAAAUUAAUUAAUUCGCGCGAGGCUGAUACGAUGAGGAGCGGCUAAUUUCCUCCUCUACCCAAAGGUUGACGCGAGGGCGCGGUCCAUAAUAUCUGUGAGAUCUAAUCGAAUCUUCAUUAUUUCUUCCAAUUUAUUGCUAUUCAUGCGUUUCCUGAUUUAAUCGUUCAUGGGUAUUGUAUUAAUUGAAUAUCAUCGGCCGGGUAUUUGAUUUAAUUUAAUAGCCUACUGCCACGUUAAUUAAAUAGAAUCCGAAAUUAUUCAUUUAGUUAACACCCCGUGGCAACCACCAUAAUUGGUUUUAUGAUGGGGAAACGCAAGAUCUAGCUUAAAUAAACCCUCUUAGCGUGUUUAUUGGUUAAGGUUGGGUUCUUCUAGCUUUAAUGCAAUUGGGUAAUUAAAUUCCUACGGUCGUACCUAGGGUUGUUAUCUGGUUAGGGAAGCAGUCAAUGGUCGUACCUUGACUGUCGAAAAGGUAAGGAAGAACUGGUUGUCAGAGCUUAUUGAUAACUAUAACCAACCUAGUGAUGAAUGGGUGAAAUAUCUUUGCAUCGAUGAUCAUUUAAUUGGACCGUGCCUGAGCAGUUGAUCCUUUGGGUGGAAUUUUGUUAAUUGCUAUUUUUAGUGAAUUGUGCUUUGUGAGUUAGUUUUGAAUUUUGUUUGUUUUAUUUUAUUUUUAUUUGCCUCCCAUUGAAAAUCCCCCAAUUUCAUUCUACUAAUUUGGAAAGAAAUAAUUUCCUACCUGCUCCCUGUGAAAUCAACCCUACUUGCCAUUGUACGCAAAAUUAGUAUUUUUAUAGACAAAUCCGGUAUAUCGGAUCAAGCAAACUCUUCGAGAACAGGGUGAAUCAAGUAACCCAUUGCACACCUAGGGUCCAUGCUCCAGUACUUGGAUUUGUUCUAUAAUUAUUUAAUUGAGGUGGUAAUUAGGACUUUUUAGUAAUUAUUAUUGCACAGGUUCGGCACCUGUCAAUUUUUGGCGCCGUUGCCGGGGAGUUGGCGUUUGGAUUAUUUGUUUCUUUUCAAAUUCAGUUUUUAUUUUAUUUUUAUUUUAUUCUAUUCUUCUUGGUAUUUUUGCUAGUUUAUGCCCCGUUCUUCUCGCACAGGUGAAUUAGUAUACGAUCCUGAAGUUGAGAAGGCAGCGCGUAGGCGGAGGCAAGAGACCAAGAAGCGAAAAGAAGGGCCCUUAUUUAUUGCAAACAAGUCGGUAGAAGACGAAGUAAGUAUGGCCAACACCCAAACAUUAAGGGAGCUGGCUGCCCCGGAGCUGACUCACCAGCCUUUAUGCAUCACAUUCCCCACUCUGGCUGAGAAUACUGCUUUCGAACUGAAGUCGGGGCUGAUUCACCUCUUACUUUCUUUCCAUGGUCUCUCUGGCGAAGAACCCCACAAACACGUUAAGGAGUUCGAGGUGGUUUGCUUUAGUAUGAAACCUCUUGGGGUCACUGAAGAGCAAAUUAGACUGAGAGCCUUUCCUUUCUCCCUUAAGGAUGCAGCAAAGGAUUGGUUGUACUACCUACCAGCAGGUAGUAUUACCACAUGGGCACAGUUGAAAAAGAAAUUCUUGGAAAAAUUCUUCCCUGCAUCCCGGGCUGCGAGUUUGAAGAAGGAGAUCUGCGGCAUUAAACAAUAUCUCGGUGAGUCCUUGUAUGAAUACUGGGAAAGUUUUAACAAGUUGUGCACUAGAUGCCCGUAGCAUCAAAUUAGUGAACAACUGUUAAUCCAAUACUUCUAUGAAGGGCUCCAAUCAACCGAUAGGAGUAUCAUUGAUGCUGCGAGUGGGGGAGCACUUGCAAACAAGACACCGAGGGAAGCGUGGGAGCUCAUCGAAGCCAUGACAGAGAACUCCCAGCAAUUUGGCUUACGUGAGAGCAACCCUCCCCGUAGAGUCAACGAGGUAGAGACUUCAUCCAUACAGCAGCAACUGUCAGAAUUGACGUCUGUUGUUAGGCAAUUAGCCAUGAGAGACACGCCGCGAGCAAAGGUGUGUGGAAUCUGUACUAGCAUGGACCACUGCACGGACACGUGCCCCAUUUUACAAGAAGAUGGGGCGGAACAGGUAAACAUGGCCAGAGGCGUGCCCGCGCCCCGCAGGCAGUACGACCCGUACUCCAAUACGUACAAUCAAGGCUGGAGGGACCAUCCCAAUCUCAGUUAUGGGAACAGACAACAAAAUUCAUUUCCGAAUCGUCCACCAGGAUUUCAGCAACCAUGACAACCGAAACCGCAAUCCUCAUCCUCCAACACAGGGAGUUCCUUGGAGGAUAUUGUCAAGAGUCUGGCUACGACUACCGCCCAGAUCCAGCAAGAGACUAGACAGCUCCAGCAGGAGACCAGGUCAGUGACCACAAAUAUGGCUCAACUCCAGCAAGAAACUAGAGCCUUAACCAUGAGCACCACUCAGUUCCAGCAGGACACAAAAGCAGGCAUGAAAGAUAUGGAGACUCGAAUAAGCCAAAUGGCAACUGUCAUCAAUCGCUUGGAGUCCCACGCUUAUGGAAAGUUACACUCACAACUCGAAGUAAAUCCCAGGAAUGUAAGUACCAUGACACUGAGGAGUGGCAAGACACUGGAAGGGCCUAAAGAGGGAAAUUCAAAAGGCAAGAGUGAAGAGGAGAUAGAGAAGGAAAUUGAAGAGGAAAGGCGUAUUCGCAAGGAUCCUAAGGUAACCGUCACUUCUCCGCCCACUAUUAAAUCUAACUUACCUCCUUUUCCUUGCAGGCUGGAGAAGACAAAAAAGGUAGAGAAGGAAAAAGAGCUUUUAGAUGUGUUCCGAAAAGUGGAGAUUAACAUCCCUUUACUGGAUGCAAUCAAGCAGAUACCGAAAUAUGCUAAAUUUCUCAAGGAUCUAUGCACCCAUAAGAGGAAACUGAGAGGGGACGAAAGAGUAGCGAUGGGAGAGAAUGUGUCAGCAAUGCUCCAAAGAAAGCUUCCACCCAAGUGUGGAGAUCCAGGUAUGUUCACGAUCCCCUGUAAGAUAGGGAAUACACCGAUCAGGAAAGCAAUGUUAGAUUUAGGGGCGUCAAUCAAUGUGAUGCCAAAGACCAUUUUUGCUUCUCUAAAUCUUGGACCACUUAAAGAAACAGCCAUCAUAAUCCAACUAGCUGAUCGCACAAAUGCAUAUCCAGAUGGGCUAGUUGAGGAUGUCUUGGUUCAGGUAAAUGAGUUAGUCUUUCCUGCAGAUUUUUAUAUCUUGGACAUGGAAGAUGAAAAAUCAUUAAACCCGUCACCUAUCUUGUUAGGUAGACCAUUUCUUAGCACUGUCAGGACUAAAAUAGAUGUGAAUGAGGGUACUUUAUCAAUGGAGUUUGAUGGUGAAACUGUGAAUUUCAAUAUUUUUGAGGCGAUGAAGUAUCCAGAAGAAUCUAACUCGAUUUUUGCUUUGAGCAUUAUUGAGCCUUGUGUGCAGGAAACUUUCGAAUUAGACGGCAAAGACGCAUUGGAAGUGGCUCUAAUCAAGCAUCUGGAGUUAGGUGUAACUCUUGAUGUGGGCCUAAGGGAAGAAUUGCUCCAUACUGUUGAGGCCUUACACUCACUACCCAUCGUAUCUCCAAGGUAUGAACUUACUUCUCUUUUUGUGCCAGAGGCUCAGACAAAGUUGCUGCCUUCAGUGGUGCAGGCACCGGAGUUAGAAUUAAAGUCUCUCCCGAAGCAUCUAAAGUACGCAUUCCUAGGAGACCGGAAGACACUGCCGGUGAUCAUCUCUGCACACCUAUCUCCAAGUCAAGAAGACAAACUGGUACGAAUCCUUAGGGAGCAUAAGGAGGCAAUUGGGUGGAGCAUAGCAGAUAUUAAAGGGAUUAGCCCGUUCUUGUGUAUGCACCGGAUAAGACUCGAGAAUGAUGCAAAGCCGGUGAGGUAAGCACAGCGAAGAUUGAACCCUCUGAUGAUGGAAGUUGUGAAAAAGGAGAUACUCAAGUUUCUGGAGGUAGGGAUCAUUUUUAUUUCGGAUAGUCCGUGGGUGAGUCCUGUCCAAAUGGUCCCGAAGAAGGCGGGAGUGACCGUGGAGGAGAACCAGGAGGGUGAUAUGGUCCCGGUCAGGAAAGCUACUGGGUGGCGUCAGUGCAUCGACUAUCGGAGACUAAAUUCUGUGACUAAAAAGGACCAUUUUCCCCUCCCUUUUAUUGAUCAGAUGGUUGAACGACUGGCGGGUCGUGUUUACUAUUAUUUCUUGGAUGGCUUUUCAGGUUACUUUCAGAUUGCGAUCGCACCAGAAGACCAGGAAAAGACUACCUUCACAUGCCCAUUUGGUACGUUUGCCUACCGUCGGAUGCCUUUCGGCCUCUGCAAUGCUCCAGCAACCUUUCAACGGUGUAUGGUAAGUAUUUUCUCUGAAUAUGUGGAAAAAAUAAUUGAGGUGUUCAUGGAUGAUUUUAUUGUAUACGGGGACAGUUUUGAUGAAUGCCUUGAGAAUCUGGCUCUAAUUCUGAAAAGAUGCAUAGAGACGAAUUUGGUGCUUAAUUGGGAAAAAUGUCACUUUAUGGUAGAUCAUGGCAUUGUCUUAGGGCACGUUGUGUCGGCUAAGGGAAUAGAGGUAGAUAAAGCUAAAAUAGAUCUUAUUUCUGCUCUACCUUACCCCGUAUGUGUACGGGAAGUGAGUUCAUUUUUGCGCCAUGUAGGAUUUUACAGAAGGUUUAUCAAAGAUUUCUCAAAGAUAGGAGCACCCCUGUUCAAGUUACUGCAAAAGGACGUGCCAUUUGAUUUCACGAAUGAAUGUAAGGUGGCUUUUGAUAAAUUGAAGGAGUCGUUGACAUCGCCGCCUGUCAUUCAACCACCAGAUUGGAGCGUUCCGUUUGAAAUCAUGUGCGACGCAAGUGACUAUGCCGUGGGGGCCGUUUUGGGGCAAAGAAUUGGAAGAGUACCACACGCAAUCUACUACGCGUCGAGAGCAUUAAGUGGAGCCCAAUUUAAUUACUCCACGACGGAAAAAGAAUUACUAGCUGUUGUUUUUGCACUAGAAAAAUUUAGGUCAUAUUUGUUGGGUGCAAAAGUAAUUGUUUUCUCUGAUCAUGCAGCCUUGAGGUACUUGCUGGCGAAGAAGGAUGCAAAACCGAGGCUGAUUAGGUGGAUCUUGCUCCUGCAGGAAUUCGAUCUAGAGAUCAAGGACAAAAGCGGAGCCGAAAAUUUGGUGGCUGACCAUUUGAGCAGGUUGCUCGCAAAUCAAGAAGAUCUACCGUUGAGAAAAUCAUUUCCCGAGGAGCAACUUUUAGCCAUUAAUUCGUCGGCACCAUGGUAUGCUGAUAUUGUCAAUUUUUUGGUAGCAAACCAAUUACCUGCAGGUUGGCCAAAGGCUAGAAGAGAUAAAUUAAAAAGUGACGCCAAGCACUAUAUUUGGGAUGACCCCUACCUGUGGAGGCAAUGCUCAGACCAAGUGAUAAGAAGGUGUGUAAGUGCAGGUGAGUUUCAUUUUAUUUUGACUUUCUGUCAUUCAUUUGCAAUUGGAGGGCAUUUUGGUCCAAAGCGGACGGCUCGUAAAGUGUUAGAAAGUGGUUUUUAUUGGCCUACUCUCUUUAAGGAUGCAUAUUUGUUCUGCAAAUCUUGUGAUAAGUGUCAAAAGGUGGGAAAUAUUUCUCGUAGAGACCAAAUGAGUCAAACCCCCAUAUUAUUUGUUGAGAUUUUUGAUGUCUGGGGUAUAGAUUUCAUGGGUCCCUUCCCCUCAUCUUUUGGUUUCUUGUACAUUAUACUUGCUGUUGACUAUGUUUUCAAAUGGGUGGAGGCAAAAGCCACCCGGACUAAUGAUUCUAGAGUGGUCGCAGAUUUUAUAAGAUCUAACAUUUUUGUCCGUUUUGGAAUGUCGAGAGCUAUAGUGAGUGACAGGGGCACCCAUUUCUGCAAUAAGACAAUCACUGCAUUGUUUCGUAAGUAUGGUGUGCUCUAUAAAGUGUCCACUCCAUAUCAUCCACAGACGAAUGGGCAGGCCGAAGUGUCGAAUAGGGAGGUCAAGUCAAUUUUAGAGAAGAUAGUGCGGCUUGAUAGGAAAGACUGGAGUCUGAAAUUGGAAGAUGCUCUCUGGGCCUACCGCACGGCAUAUAAAACACCAAUUGGGAUGUCCCCAUACAGGUUAGUUUUUGGGAAGCCCUGCCACCUCCCGGUGGAAUUUGAACACAGAGCAUUCUGGGCGCUUAAGCGGUGUAAUAUGGACCUUAUGGAGGCCGGGGGACACAGAAAGCUCCAAUUACAAGAGUUGGAAGAGCUAAGGAAUGAAGCCUAUGAGAACGCUGCAAUAUAUAAGGAGAAGGGUAAAAUUUUUCACGACCAACAAGUGUCGAGGAAGUUGUUUGUCAUAGGGCAAAAAGUCCUGCUUUAUCACUCGAGACUUAAGUUUUUUCCUGGUAAGUUGCGUUCCCGUUGGAUUGGUCCAUUUGUUGUUACUAAUAUUUCUCAUUAUGGUGCAGUGGAAAUCCAAAGUCUUAAAACGGAAAAAAUGUUCGUAGUCAAUGGUCACCGUUUAAAACCUUAUUAUGAAGGGUUUAAUAGUGAGCAAAUGGAGGUUCUAUUCCUUGAUAAUCCAGGUGGUGAAGUCUAAACAGUUGAAGGCCAUGUCUAACCAAAGACGUUAAAGAAAGGUGCUGCUUGGGAGGCAACCCAAGUGAUCAUUCUUCAUUAUUCUGCAAUUUUUCAGUUUCCUUUUAAUGUUUUGAUUGUUUUUGUGGUGUUGGACAGAAGAAUAGGGGUUCCAAGGCGUGCCCACGCCUUGACGGAAAUUCGUUUGGACAUCAUUUAGAUGUUGUGGGCAGAAGACCAUGCCCUCCAAGGCGUGCCCACGCCUUCCAACCCCUCCGAUAGCGAAAGUAAAAAAAAAACAAAAAAAAAAAAUUCAAAGAAAAUUUUUGACCCAGACCCUACUUUUUCCACUUCGUCUUCUUCUUUGCUUGGCCUUGUCAAGUCCUCCAAGUUCCUCCGUUGAGAUUUCCCUUGUCCUAGUUUUAGUCUCUAUUUCACUUUCCUCUUUCCACCCAUCAGCAGAUCUGCGCGACGCAGACCAGCCCGCCGCGCGGGUUUUCUUCUCAGGCCGCAGCCCAGCGCCGUUCGUUCCAGCCGCGCGCGCGACCUGCCCCUGCCGACCUGUCCCCUGCGCAGCAGCCCCUGUGUGCGAGCCUUCUCUGUCCGCACGCCUGGCACGCCCAGCCAAACUUCGCGCGACCCUGCCGACCUUCUGCAUAACUAAUGAGUUUACUUCCUUCUGCAUUCUUUUGAUCCUUUUUGUUGGCACAAAACUGAAUGCAAAAUAGCAAUAACCAAAUAAGCUAAAUGAUACAAUUACAAACUAGAAAUUGAAAGACAGUAACGUACCUCCACCCUGGAAGGUAUAUGGAUUGCAUAACUUGCUCAAAAUACAAAGCCUGUUCUCUUUGGAGUUCAAAAAUCCUUCGCCCUUUUUCAUAGUUGCUACCAAAAGCUGUUCUUGAAAUUACAUCACUAGUAAAUGUUUGAAGAUAAGGCCACACAUCUAAUUCAAAAGAUCCUUCUGCUGGGGCAAGGUUCUCCCAUUUGCUUAACAUCUCAUUACAACUCAGAUAAAAUGCUGGCACCAUGUACUGGAUGUGAAGGAGAAUCAAAAGCGUAAGUCUUCCAGCUUUUAUGUUCUUCAUUAAUCAAAAAGUAAGAAUGGAAAUAUUAUUCAGUGAAAUUUUAAAAUUGGAAAGGCUGCAUUUGGUUCUUUAUCUGGACUAGAUUGGAACCAUAACUACAUUUAUAUGAUGCAAUACCAAACACUAGCCAGUUCCAUGUCUGAUAAAUAACAAGAAACGGCCAAAAGCAUGUAAGAUAUUGAAACAGCACCAAAUUUCAGGAGAAAAAGCUAGAAACAACCUUCAAUUUCUCUACAUGAAAAGCAGGAUUCAAUAAUCUUCUGUGUUUGGCCCAUUUUUCUGUAUCCAGGCUAGCAAGUCCUAGUGCUCGAAGUUUACUGAUUGGAUUUGCCCGAGGCUUCUGAUAAGUAAAAUUUUUUGUGAAGACCUCCUUCACUUGUUCAGAAUCCAAGAUAACCAUUGCCGGCCUUGGUCCAAGCCAAAAAAAGCUAUUUUUACCUACAAAAUAAUUUUUGAUAAGCAACUUAUCCACUCUAAAAUAAAAAGAUUGGGUCAACCAUAUAUGAAAUGCAUGAUUGCUGAAAAACACAGCAAACCAAAUAGUCUUCAGGCAAAUUUGGAGAACAAACCUUUAUGUUGCAUUGUUUCAUUGAUGAAGGGCACGAUUCUGGGAAAGAUAUCAUCUGUUAUAGAAAUUGGUUUGGACUUAACCUCCUCAAGCAUCCUUCCUAUGUCUCUGGUGUCUCCAAACAAGAACCUGUAAGAGUUUCCCUGUAGACCUUGCCGCCUGAGGCUUUUCUCCAUCUUCUUUGGUGUGAUCCAAGCCCAAUUCAAGAAUCUCCAUGCCCCGAUGAGAAGAACUAUAACUGACGAAACUCCAAUCAAGCUAUAGAAAAAGUCCAUUUUCUCUGAUGCGCUUCCACUCCUUCAGUCAAACUUUCUGCUGGCAGGGGGAACUUGCGAAGCGGUUAGUUAUUAAGGAUGGAGAACCUCAACUUUGGGACACUUAAUUCUGAAAUCUAUGCAUAUCCAUCUGUAAAAUCAGCAAAGACAAAGUAGCUUGAUGGUAUGUUCUAUGUUUACGGCAUCUGCUAAAAUGGAGAUGCUCUGAGACUUCAACACUCACCUAUAAAGGACAUUUGAGCCUUUAAUAUUCUUGUUUAUGGUAAAAUGAUUUUUCUACUCGUUCACUUAAAUUACUAUAUGAACACACAUAAUACAAUUAUUAUAUCCUCUGUAUUUAAACGCUUUCCUAGUAACUAUACUUUUUAAAAAAAAAAAAAUUAGCACUCUUGAGGCCACCCUUUGAGAACAAAUCAACAAAGCUCGAUUAUCCUGCAAGCCUCACAAAUCAUCAUCAGAAGUCUUUUUCUAUCUGCCUUCUAGAAAAAGUGUCAGUUCAAUAAAUAGAACUUGAGAAUUUGACUUUUGAAUUACCGUAAAAAAAAAGGAUGAAGUAGAAGACUAUAACCGGCUAACUCUACAUAUAAAUGGCUAUUGUUAGAAUAGCUACUCUUUGAACAGUCAUCCAUGGCUAUUAUUAAUGUGCUAAUGUGUAAUAACAAUUUGCACCCCUCAGCUAUUAUUAAUUAGUGAUCUGAACCAUAAACAAUUAAUUGUAGCAAUGUUGAACAAAAAAGUAAUUGUAGCACUAGAGUCCAUUAUGUUUUUGCUGAAAUCUAUUUUUUUUUAAAAAAAAAAAACAUUUUGUGGCUACAGUCAAAUGAAAAGAUUUUAGUACCCUAAUGUAAUAUGUAGACACCAAAUUUUAGCUCAAGUUCAUUUACUCUUUAUUUCUUAGUUUUUGUUUUUGUCAUGUUUGUUUUAUUCAUUUUUAGUUUUAGUCUUUUUAGUUUUCAUGUUAUUAUUUAUUUUAAGCUUUUAGCAUGGAAUUUCUCAAAAGAAAAAGAAAACAAUGAAAAAAUGUAGAAAAAGAUUAAAAAAUGGCCAUUUUUGUUGUUUUUAGUUGUUUAGAUUUUUUAAAAUUGUUUUCAUUUGUUAUUAUUAUUAUUUUUACUUGGUUUUUGUCAAUUCUGUUAAUUAGUUAUUAUUAUUUAGUUUUACUUUUGUUUUUGUUAAAAUUAUUAAAAAAAAAAAAAAAAAAGUCACGCAUGCCAAAAGCUGCGUGUUGCCGCAGCUUGCAAGAAGUAAUUGCAGGGAGUCCUUGGGGGGUAAAUUUAGCUACAAAGGCCAGGUGCCUAGGACACCUGGAAGGGGAGAGGAAUCUAGAAGAAGGGGGGCCGUAGGAUGAAGGGUUUGGAGAAGGGGUUUUGCAUUUUGAGGGUAGCCGCAAGAGAAGAAAAGGGGGAGUUCCAGCAGUGAGCGGCGGUAGAAAAGAAAAACCAGAACGGGAGAGGGGGAGUGACGGCUGCAUCAGGAAAAGAAAGAGAACCGAGAGAGAGUGGAGGAGGUUUAGAAGGCAACAAAAGAAAGAAAAGGGAGGAUCCGCGGGGGAGAGAGAAAGCAAAAACAGAAAAACUGGAGCAAAAGGGAAAAAACCGAGAGAGUGAGUCGUGAGCGAGAACUAGACAAAGGGAAAGGUCAGAAGAUUGCUUCUGGUGGCGGCUGUGGAUUAACGAAGGAACGAAAGGGGAAGGUUGAGUGACGAGACAGAAAAGAGCCACCAGAAAAAAUAAGAAGAAGGAGAGAGCUAGCAGCAAAAGGGCUGGGCAAGAUCAGAGAUUCGAGAAAGAGUAAGCGGAAAAGGAGAUCCAAGGUGGAAACCCAGAGUCAGGUUCGGUCGUCGAUAUCUUCAUCGAAUCCAGGCAGUGAACAGGUAGUCAUUAACCCUUGUUCUUGGCUAUUUUCAUAUGAAAUCUGGUCUGCGCAACUAGACGUUCUGAGCUCUUACGUAGAGGAUUUGAUUGCUAGGCAUAUGUUGUCUUCGUGCGUUUCCUUUCAUUCCACAGCCCAAAGCUGCUGCCUUUUGCUGCCAUUUUUUUGUUGUAUUAUGGGUUUCUCAUUUACUUAAAUGUUGUGGAAUCUGGUCUAGCAGGCUGCAUGUUUCUUGGUUAUGUUUAUGUGCCAAUUUGGAAAGAACAACCCGAAGCUUUACUGCAGAAAAAUGGAAUCUUGCUUAGAUUGAUUCUUUAAACCUGCGGGCGUUGCUCCCUCUAGUUACUGCUUGCAUGAUACUCUUCCUUUUCCAUGUUGAUCUGGCUGGCCGAAAGUGUCUUGGAGCUGUAAAAUGGUUGAACGAAAAGUACAGCAAGUUUUCUUUUGUAGUUGCAGCCACUUUCAUCCGUGGGUAUUGCAUGAUUCAGAUUCAAUAUGUGCAUGAUCUCUUGCUAUGUUUGGCUUGUUCGGAUGUCAAGUUUUUGUUGUGUUUGCUUAGCUUGAAGUUUGGAUGAUUGGAUGUUGGGUCUAGAUUCGGUACUUGCAGAUGAAAGUUGCAGGCGCGUGUUCUUCGGUUGCAGAAAUUUUCCUUGUAACAUUUGCAUAAAGAUUGCUGGAAUUUUCUUUACCUCAUUUUUAGUUGAUUGGUUUGCUGAAUUCUGUGGUGGUCUUCAGUUUCGGAUUGCAUUGGUUUUGAUUGAAUGACAUGUUAGUUGCUUUAGGUUUGCAUCUAAGAAACCUGUUAUAUUGCAGCAAUAUUUCUUUCAUUGCCAAAGUUUUGAUUCAUUUUGAAGUCCAUGUUUGGUGUGUUGUUGAGUUGGUCUAUCAUGAACAUGUUUACCCAGUCUUGUUGGCAUUUUCGAUGUGUUUUCAUAGUUGCAUUGCUGCAUUCGAUAGAAAUAGAAGGAAUGUGGGGUGGUCAUGUUGCCUGGAAUUUAGUUUGCUUCGCAUUCAGAUUGAUGCACGAAAUUCUGGACAGAUCCGUUUCCUUCCUUUGCUUGUUGUAGUCCAGGUUUCAUUUGAAGUGUUUGAUUCACUUGUAGCUUAAUGGGUAUACCAUGUACGCGCUCACCCCGAGCUGUCUUCUUGUUAUCUAGUUGCAUGAUCGAAUCUUUUGGGUAAAGAAUCAGUAAUGGAGAGAACCACUUCUGAGGAAAACUUGUCUUGCAUGAUCUCAAUUCCAGUUUUUUGUAGGGUGGAAUACUGAAUGUUACUGAUUAUCUGGUUUUAGAUUAAGGUUUUGAUGUGCAUUGAAGUGUUCUUGAGCAAAAGGGUGGAAAUCAAGGUGUGAAAAUGAAUGUUGCGGCUGCAUUUUCUGGUUACAGAAUGCAUUCAUUACAAAUAUUUCUUGUUGCAGAACGUUUCACAGCUUUUGUACGCAUUUUGCAUGGAAAACUUUUGAAAAUUGCAUUCCAACCCCCCAAGUUCCCUUUUGUUUCACUAUGGCCCAAUCAAUUGAAUGAUUCCCUCAAUUUGGCCCUUGGUAGCUUUUAAUUCUACAUUUUCGUUGCUUGUUUGUUUUAAUUAAUUACUAUGCUUUGUUUCAAUCGCACUUAAUUCAUGACUUUAGGGGCUUUAUGACCAAGAGAGCUUGUGUUUGCUUAUUUUUUCAAAUAAAUUGGUACCUUGACCAUUUCUUUUAUUUUGGAGGAUAAAUAAAUGAUUCCACUCCAUUUGGGGCAUCGAUUCGAGGGAGGUACACUCUAUCCCUUAUUUGCACUUCAUUUGACCUUAUGUGCUCCUACGUGUUAUGUGGAUAUGCAUGUCUACUUCGCUUUCCUUGCCUUGUCUAAUUUUCUUUCCGUUAUUUCAUUUACUUUCUGCUUUCAUUUAAGUUAUUCAUUAUGGGGUAUGUGUACACCUCUUGGCUUGUAAUAGAUAGGGCUUGGCGAGCAUCUGGUCCAUUUCCCCUUCCCCUUGGUUGCUUGCUUAAUUGCUUUAUUAGGCUCUUUAAGUUAUUCAUUAUGGGGUAUGUGUACACCUCUUGGCUUGUAAUAGAUAGGGCUCGGAGAGCAUCUGGUCCAUUUCCCCUUCCCCUUGGUUGCUUGCUUUUUGUUGCUACAUGUUUAAUUGCUUUAUUAGGCUCUUGCAUCUAGUCGAGCAUGCUAAGUGUUACGUGUUACGUGUUUACGAGUGUUUUGGCAUGUCUACUUGCUUUCAUAGCCAUGAAUGAAUGGUAUGGAUGAAUGUACGUCACCACACUAGUCCAACGCUAGUUGUGGCUUCUUUUAUCGUUUCCACUAGUCUAAUGCUAGUAGGAAUUCAUAGAAAGGGCUAGUCCAACGCUAGACCCAAUAGGAUUUUUCCUUUGUUUUUCAUUAAUGCAUUAUUUGCCUGUUCACUACAUAUCAUGCAUUUUUCCCUUAGUUUUAUCAUCUGGCAUGCUCCUCGAUUCCCCUUUCCCCUCACUUUAGGUCUUGCAUCUCAUGCUAGUUAGGGUACAUUCGCCUGAAGAGUCCCCUUAAAUAUGGGAUAUAGACGAGUGUGGCUUUUCUAAGCCUUAGCACGCUUAUAUUCCCUCUACAAAAGGGAAAAUUGAGUCACAAUAUAGGUCUCCCCGUAC
RNAcentral lists this long non-coding RNA (18030 nucleotides) under Coffea arabica (coffee). Its description in RNAcentral is "long non-coding RNA (CARA_LNC003578)". The record is from RNAcentral. Lineage: Eukaryota; Viridiplantae; Streptophyta; Magnoliopsida; Gentianales; Rubiaceae.